RNAcentral lists this non-coding RNA (22 nucleotides) under Rattus norvegicus (Norway rat). Lineage: Eukaryota; Metazoa; Chordata; Mammalia; Rodentia; Muridae. The record is from RNAcentral.
AAACUUUGCCCAACUUUGGCCC